UUGGGAUCUCUUUCAAGAUUGGUGAUGGCAGAGAACCGAUCCUCCAUAGCUUCUCUCUUUCCUCUCUUGCAGUAAACUGAAAACUCAUCACCUUCCCUUUCCACCUCUCCACUUUCUUCCCUUGUCGUCUCUGCAUUCACAGAGAUAGGUGCUGCAACACCCACGGGAGCCACCGGUAUGUCUAGCCUCGUAGGUCGCUUCCUCUUCAGAACGCCUCCCAGCUGGCGGUCAAAGGGACCAGAGUCCGAACCAAACACUGAAUUAACCGGCGGUUUAAGAAGACGGAGGCAGAACGGCGAAGUGGGAGACGCAGCCGAAGGAGAAGAAGCAAGAGGAGUGAGAUGGGAAUGAGACAGAGUCAGGUUUUGAUGCGCCGGAGAAAUGUUCAACGCCUUGUUGUUGCAGAAAAGAGACGAGGACGGGGAGAAAACCGGCGAGCUGCAGACGGCAACAGACAUCCUUUCCUUUAAACCUUUUUUGUUGAUGAUUUUUUUUUUUCCUGUAUAUUUAUUUUGUUUGCGUUCUCCUAGUCGUUUGAAUGAAUGUUAUCAACGAAGGUGAAAAGAAGCUAUAAAUAGAAGAGAAGUCUUCGAGGCCUAUCGGCGACGACGCUUUCUUCUUCAAAGUCAAACGCUACCACCACCAUCUUCUUCUUCUUUGACUUUUCAAAUCACGAACCCACCGCCACAGUCCACUUGUUCCGCCUUAUUUUUAAAAAAUGUUGGUCAACUCCAUUUUGUUGUUACUCUUCCAGAAAAAAAAUAAUUUUGGAUAACAGAACGGAAAAAAAAAGUCAAGAGAAAUAAAUUGUGGUUAUGAACAUAAAAUUCAUUUGAUCACUUCACCUUGAUGUCUGGUGGAGGAAGGAUGAAUAUAAUGAAACACGUGGUAUUAUUAUUUUUCCAUCACACGUGUUACAUAUUGUGAGGAAAAGUCAAAAUAGAAAGAAAGCCCAUCUGAAAAUAAUAAAAGCCGUUUAGAGUGGAGGCCCUAUAGACAGAAAGCCUAUAAUAGUCGGACCGACAUGGAUACAUGGAUAUUUUAUAAUAUUUCUAGAACCCGACCCGGUUCACACUUUUUGUUCCCGGCGGCCGUCUCUCUCCCUAACUCUUGUGACACCUUCUUCUUCUUCUUCCUCCUCUUCUCCUUCGAAGUCAGGUUAGAUUUACGCUUCUUUUAUAUUUACUUUGGGUUUAUGAGAUUGGUUAUCUGGAUUCUUAGUGUUUGUGGUAUCGAACAGAACGGAACACUAAGAUACUCAUGUAAAAGAGAAUCCACUUGGACUUAAGAUCGUACUAAACUUUCAGACGUUCAGAUUUUUUAAGAUUAAGUUUCUAGCUGAAGUAUGUAUUUAUCAGCUAUAUAUAUAGGGGUAUAAACGUUAGAGAUAUCCUGUGUUACGUAACAAUUAAGACUCAUGCACAUACGGUAUGUUAAUAUACACAGAGUGCCCUAAUAACUAAUAUGACAAAUGAAGUUUAAACAUUCUUAAGGUGUUCUCUAAUCUCUACAUAUCUCCACUGGUCAGAUGAAGCGGCGUAACGGAAUCAACAUAACACUGAUAUCGUCCAAGGAGCCUCGUGAAACAGAGAGGUCAACGAGCUUCUUACACGCUAGCAAUGGCUUUUGGUUCUGAUCGGUUCCCAUGCAGAACGGUCGAGCUAUAUCUACUGUCUCCUGGUUACCAACCUUUUCCCACAGACCGUCUGAAGCUAAGAUCAAGAACUCGUGUUGGGGGUUGAUACGUAAAGUCUUUGUCUCUGGCUCAGAUAUCACCCAUCUUUUGAGAUGCGCAUCUCCGAUUCCUCUAGACAGGGGCGGAGGCAGUGAAGGAGGUGUGGGGUCAGCUGACCCCACUACUUUUUUUAAAAAUAUUUUUUUUUAUUUAAGAAAAUUUGUAUUGACCCCUUUAAAAAUGAAAAUUUGACCCCACUAAAAAUAUAAUUUCACAAAUAUAAUCACAAAACAUUAAAGAUUGAAGAUAAUUUAAAAUUAUAUAAAUAAUAUGUUUAUUUUAUUUGUUAAACAUUUGAUUUAUAUUAAUUUUAGCUUAGAUUUCAAUAAACACGUUUUUAUAAUAAGUGUUAGUUACAUAUUUCAAUAACUCCCAAAUUGUAUUAGGUCCAAUAAUGAGCGAAUUUGAAAAAAAGAGAUUUGUACUUCUUUUCUGGACAACGCAAAGAGGAAGAACUCUCAUGUUCCCCAAACAAUUUUUAGAUAAUUUUUUUUUGAUCGAAUAAUUUUUAAAUAAGUUUUCUAUUUUUUUUGUUAUACACUCUCUUCUUUAUUUUAGCAAACUAAAAAUGAUUAUGAUUCAAUGAUUAUGUAAAUUUAUCAGUUAACUAAUGGAUCAGUUUCUGAAUCGGCAAAAAAAUAUCAGCCAAUGAAAAUCAUCAAAAAAUAAUAUUACAAUAUCGCAUCAGUAAUGAAUUUCUAAAACUUUUAUGAUUUGUUUUAUCAAAAUUAUUUUAAAUUGUAGUAAAUAAUUAUGGUAAACAAGUUUUAAGAUAUGAAUGAUCAUAUAGUAUAUUUAUAGUUUUUCCGUGGUUAUAAAUUAUGUAUUUGGAGAUAAAAAAAUUUGACCCCGGUACAAAAACUUUCUGGCGGCUCCGCCACUGCCUCUAGAUACCGCUAAAGAUCCUUGGAUUCUCCAAACACUGUUAAAUGUAUCAACAUAACCGCCCUGCAAGAUUAUCAUGCUAAAACUCAGAACCAAAAACAUACUAAAACGAGGUUGUACUACGUAGGUUGCUAUUUUUUUCUAAAACCCUAAAAACCAAGAAAAAUAUAAACUGAAUGAAGACUAAAUAUCAAUGCACUACUUAAUCAUAUUCUUGAAAAUCAACCAUAAGUUUAUUGAAAAAUGAUUUACAAACAUUAAAUGUUAAUAUAGAGGUAUGAAUUAUUACCGAGCUUUCAAUUCUGUUCCGUUCAUCGUCCCUCGAAGGGCGGUGGUCAGAAGUCAGAGCCUCCGCGAAUCCUCCAACGCUCAAAACAGCACGGCAGUCACCGGCAUUGGACACCACGAGAUUCCCAUCUUUAAUCAGAGCCGUGACGCAGCAAGAUCCUCCCUUAACAUCUUUCUCCUUGAGAAACUCAGAAUCAGUCGUUAGGUAACCACGUUUCACAGCUUCUUCAAUAUCUGACUCGUUCCUCUCACUACCUCUCUCUCCUAGAAUGUUAUUACACAAGUUCUUAGCCGCAAACUCAGCCGCUCUUGAUCCUCCAUGACCAUCAUAGACUCCAAAAAUUGCCUGCAAAUCGUAGAACAACAUUUGAGAUUUAAUGACUACUUCUACAAUAUGAACUUCACAUAUGAUUCAUUGGUCAUAUUAGAAUUUUGAUAGGGAGCUUUGAAUUUGAUUCAAUGUUCUAAAAUCCAAAUCUUAUUUGGCAAAAUAAAUUUAUUCUAAAAUCUAAACUAUCUGAUUCCCACACAAAAAAUGAGAUUAUAUAUAAUACAUAUUGGAAUAUCAUUUUUCUAGUAAUUAUUACAAUUUGAAAUAAUAAAAGAGAACUGAAGUUACCUGUUUGGGAUCUCUUUCAAGAUUGGUGAUGGCAGAGAACCGAUCCUCCAUAGCUUCUCUCUUUCCUCUCUUGCAGUAAACUGAAAACUCAUCACCUUCCCUUUCCACCUCUCCACUUUCUUCCCUUGUCGUCUCUGCAUUCACAGAGAUAGGUGCUGCAACACCCACGGGAGCCACCGGUAUGUCUAGCCUCGUAGGUCGCUUCCUCUUCAGAACGCCUCCCAGCUGGCGGUCAAAGGGACCAGAGUCCGAACCAAACACUGAAUUAACCGGCGGUUUAAGAAGACGGAGGCAGAACGGCGAAGUGGGAGACGCAGCCGAAGGAGAAGAAGCAAGAGGAGUGAGAUGGGAAUGAGACAGAGUCAG
RNAcentral lists this long non-coding RNA (3893 nucleotides) under Brassica rapa (field mustard). RNAcentral describes it as "long non-coding RNA (BRAP_LNC007539)". Lineage: Eukaryota; Viridiplantae; Streptophyta; Magnoliopsida; Brassicales; Brassicaceae. The record is from RNAcentral.